This 434-nucleotide ribosomal RNA is filed under the name uncultured bacterium. RNAcentral's name for it is "bacterial SSU rRNA". It matches the Rfam family "Bacterial small subunit ribosomal RNA", at positions 354 to 796 of the family's 1533-position model. The record is from RNAcentral.
GUGGGGAAUAUUGCACAAUGGGCGCAAGCCUGAUGCAGCGACGCCGCGUGAGGGAUGACGGCCUUCGGGUUGUAAACCUCUUUCAGUAGGGAAGAAGCUCUUCGGAGUGACGGUACCUGCAGAAGAAGCGCCGGCUAACUACGUGCCAGCAGCCGCGGUAAUACGUAGGGCGCAAGCGUUGUCCGGAAUUAUUGGGCGUAAAGAGCUCGUAGGCGGUUUGUCGCGUCUGCUGUGAAAACGCAAGGCUUAACCUUGCGCCUGCAGUGGGUACGGGCAGACUAGAGUGCGGUAGGGGAGACUGGAAUUCCUGGUGUAGCGGUGGAAUGCGCAGAUAUCAGGAGGAACACCGAUGGCGAAGGCAGGUCUCUGGGCCGUUACUGACGCUGAGGAGCGAAAGCAUGGGGAGCGAACAGGAUUAGAUACCCCAGUAGUCC